UGGGGAAUAUUGCACAAUGGGGGAAACCCUGAUGCAGCGACGCCGCGUGGAGGAAGAAGGUCUUCGGAUUGUAAACUCCUGUUGUUGAGGAAGAUAAUGACGGUACUCAACAAGGAAGUGACGGCUAACUACGUGCCAGCAGCCGCGGUAAAACGUAGGUCACAAGCGUUGUCCGGAAUUACUGGGUGUAAAGGGAGCGCAGGCGGGAAGACAAGUUGGAAGUGAAAUCUAUGGGCUCAACCCAUAAACUGCUUUCAAAACUGUUUUUCUUGAGUAGUGCAGAGGUAGGCGGAAUUCCCGGUGUAGCGGUGGAAUGCGUAGAUAUCGGGAGGAACACCAGUGGCGAAGGCGGCCUACUGGGCACCAACUGACGCUGAGGCUCGAAAGUGUGGGUAGCAAACAGGAUUAGAUACCCUGGUAGUCCACACCGUAAACGAUGAUUACUAGGUGUUGGAGGAUUGACCCCUUCAGUGCCGCAGUUAACACAAUAAGUAAUCCACCUGGGGAGUACGACCGCAAGGUUGAAACUCAAAGGAAUUGACGGGGGCCCGCACAAGCAGUGGAGUAUGUGGUUUAAUUCGACGCAACGCGAAGAACCUUACCAAGUCUUGACAUCCUGCGACGAUGCUGGAAACAGUAUUUUCCUUCGGGACGCAGAGACAGGUGGUGCAUGGUUGUCGUCAGCUCGUGUCGUGAGAUGUUGGGUUAAGUCCCGCAACGAGCGCAACCCUUACUGUCAGUUACUACGCAAGAGGACUCUGGCAGGACUGCCGUUGACAAAACGGAGGAAGGUGGGGAUGACGUCAAAUCAUCAUGCCCUUUAUGACUUGGGCUACACACGUACUACAAUGGACAUAAACAAAGAGAAGCAAGACCGCGAGGUGGAGCAAAACUCAGAAACAACGUCCCAGUUCGGACUGCAGGCUGCAACUCGCCUGCACGAAGUCGGAAUUGCUAGUAAUCGUGGAUCAGCAUGCUGCGGUGAAUACGUUCCC
RNAcentral lists this ribosomal RNA (995 nucleotides) under uncultured bacterium. Its description in RNAcentral is "bacterial SSU rRNA". It matches the Rfam family "Bacterial small subunit ribosomal RNA", at positions 355 to 1375 of the family's 1533-position model. The record is from RNAcentral.